Molecule: ribosomal RNA, 442 nt
Filed under: Sphingomonas sp.
Lineage: Bacteria; Pseudomonadati; Pseudomonadota; Alphaproteobacteria; Sphingomonadales; Sphingomonadaceae
Description: bacterial SSU rRNA
Rfam family: Bacterial small subunit ribosomal RNA
Source: RNAcentral
GAGUUUGAUCCUGGCUCAGAACGAACGCUGGCGGCAUGCCUAACACAUGCAAGUCGAACGAAGGCUUCGGCCUUAGUGGCGCACGGGUGCGUAACGCGUGGGAAUCUGCCCUUAGGUACGGAAUAACAGUUAGAAAUGACUGCUAAUACCGUAUGAUGACGUAAGUCCAAAGAUUUAUCGCCUAAGGAUGAGCCCGCGUAGGAUUAGCUAGUUGGUAAGGUAAAAGCUUACCAAGGCGACGAUCCUUAGCUGGUCUGAGAGGAUGAUCAGCCACACUGGGACUGAGACACGGCCCAGACUCCUACGGGAGGCAGCAGUGGGGAAUAUUGGACAAUGGGCGAAAGCCUGAUCCAGCAAUGCCGCGUGAGUGAUGAAGGCCUUAGGGUUGUAAAGCUCUUUUACCCGGGAAGAUAAUGACUGUACCGGGAGAAUAAGCCCCGGC